Paramuricea clavata is the source of this 79-nucleotide non-coding RNA. The record is from the annotation of a GenBank genome assembly. NCBI's taxonomy places the organism in Eukaryota, Metazoa, Cnidaria, Anthozoa, Malacalcyonacea, Plexauridae.
AUCCCUGUGAUGAUGAAUUACUUUACAUCUGGAAUUACCGCCUGAAUGUAAGUGAUGACUACUAACUCUGAGGGAUUGG